GAUCUUUCACUCCAGUAUUUCUCCCUCUUCGACUUCUUCAUCGCUAGCUCUUUCUCUGCUGAUUUUGUAUAUCUAUAUCUGUAUCUGAAUAAUAAAUCGGGAGGAAUUGCAGGCUUUUCUCAUACGGAAAUUGUUCAGGGAUGGAAAAGAGGUUAAGAGACCCAGGAGAAAAUUAUGGGGGACUGUAGUAAGGCAUUGUAUGAAAUAAUUAUAGUUGGGGAUGUGUCAAAUAGCUUGAUGAUGUUAUGUAGAGUAUGUUCAAUAUACAUAAUUGCUUGUGUACCUGCUUUGGGAUUUCUCAGUGAAUGUGUGAAUUGGAGAAUAUCAGGUAGUUGAUAGGCAGUAUUUAAUUAGAGGUAAUUUUUUUUUUCAUUCAUUGUUUUUCUCUUUUUAGCUUUAAUAUCUUUUGUGAUUUCUGUGUUUGAUAUAGAUUUAACUUUUUAAUCCAUUCCAAUUAUAACAGUAGUCGAUUUAGAAUUUGAAAUUAUCAAGUUUCAUGUGAUUUGAAUGUUGAAUAAUUUUGAUAUUACGCUCAGAAAAUGCAGAAAAUUCAUAGUCGCCUCGAUUAACUAGAUACCAUGGCAUAGCAGUCGUUUAAUUUU
Lycium ferocissimum is the source of this 602-nucleotide long non-coding RNA. RefSeq lists it as uncharacterized. The record is from RefSeq and is a predicted model, not a curated record. Lineage: Eukaryota; Viridiplantae; Streptophyta; Magnoliopsida; Solanales; Solanaceae. The transcript has 2 exons.